Molecule: ribosomal RNA, 253 nt
Filed under: uncultured bacterium
Lineage: Bacteria
Description: partial 16S ribosomal RNA
Rfam family: Archaeal small subunit ribosomal RNA
Source: RNAcentral
UACCAGCACCCCGAGUGGUCGGGACGUUUAUUGGGCCUAAAGCAUCCGUAGCCGGUUUUACAAGUCCUCCGUUAAAUCCAACUGCUUAACAGAUGGGCCGCGGAGGAUACUAUAAGACUAGGAGGCAGGAGAGGCAAGCGGUACUCAGUGGGUAGGGGUAAAAUCCGUUGAUCCAUUGAAGACCACCAGUGGCGAAGGCGGCUUGCCAGAAUGCGCUCGACGGUGAGGGAUGAAAGCUGGGGGAGCAAACCGG